This 484-nucleotide ribosomal RNA is filed under the name uncultured bacterium. Its description in RNAcentral is "partial 16S ribosomal RNA". It matches the Rfam family "Bacterial small subunit ribosomal RNA", at positions 28 to 507 of the family's 1533-position model. The record is from RNAcentral.
AUUGAACGCUGGCGGCAUGCUUUACACAUGCAAGUCGAACGGCAGCGCGGGCUUCGGCCUGGCGGCGCGUGGCGAACGGGUGAGUAAUGCAUCGGAACGUGCCCAGUAUUGGGGGAUAGCCCGGCGAAAGCCGGAUUAAUACCGCAUACGACCUGAGGGUGAACGCGGGGGACCGAAAGGCCUCGCGCUAUUUGAGCGGCCGAUGUCGGAUUAGCUAGUUGGUGGGGUAAAGGCUUACCAAGGCGACGAUCCGUAGCUGGUCUGAGAGGACGACCAGCCACACUGGGACUGAGACACGGCCCAGACUCCUACGGGAGGCAGCAGUGGGGAAUUUUGGACAAUGGGGGCAACCCUGAUCCAGCCAUGCCGCGUGCGGGAAGAAGGCCUUCGGGUUGUAAACCGCUUUUGUUCGGGAAGAAAUCCUCUGGGCUAAUACCCCGGGGGGAUGACGGUACCGGAAGAAUAAGCACCGGCUAACUACGUG